AGCCGUGCAGUGUACAGAGCGAACUAUUAUUUUGCCUUUUACUAAAGAAAACCGUUUGUGUGCCGCUCCAAGCGACAUACGCCAAUUUUUAGAGCGGCAUUUUCAGAUGAAAU
Molecule: small nuclear RNA, 113 nt
Organism: Tripterygium wilfordii
Lineage: Eukaryota; Viridiplantae; Streptophyta; Magnoliopsida; Celastrales; Celastraceae
Product: U5 spliceosomal RNA
Exons: 1
Source: RefSeq, a predicted model, not a curated record